GUGCAGAUGGACGACGGUUGUCCGUUUGUCGGCUUGGUUGAGUGCGCAAGUCUCCCCUCUUUCUUUAGGAACGGCAACUGAGUGUGAUCCCAUCACACCGCACCUCUCUCUCUCCUAGAAAAUCCAUUCACACCGUUUUGGUAUUCGGUACCAGUGCUAUUCGUAUAUAUCUUUUGUAUAUCUCAAGGCAUGAAAAUCUCAAUGAGGAAGAUCUCCUCUUCCUCCUUUCCUCGCUGUUUCUUCAUCUCUUCUCCUCAUUCCAUCAGUAGAGUUCAGAAGGGAAGAUGGCUCUUUCAUCCUGUUAUUGCCAUUCACACAUCUCUUCUCUCAAGGUCGGUCGAUCUAUGCAAGCUAGCCACCUUUUUACUUUGCCUGCAACAGAGAGGAGAUCCAUCUAUGCUUUAAGAGGGGCAAAUGCCGAUGUUUUUGGCCAAAAAGUUUCUAAAAUGGGAAGAGCACUUCAAAGUGAGUGGAGUUUUGUUGGAGGAUCAAAAGUCUUCCUCCAGCCAAAAGUGGCAAGAAUCGGCUCUUAUGGAAAAGGCUUCAGUCUCUCUGCCUCAUGGCUCACGAGUACUCAAAUUGCAAGCCAUGCUUUCACCAUCGGAACAGCCGCUGUUCUUCCAUUUUAUACUCUCAUGGUUGUUGCUCCUAAAGCUGAACUGACCAAGAAAACCAUGGAGAGUAAUAUACCUUAUGUUGCACUCGGGAUUCUGUAUGCAUAUCUUCUAUAUCUGGCAUGGACACCUGACACCUUGCGGAUGAUGUUUGCAAGUAAAUACUGGUUGCCAGAGUCCAACCAGAAAUUAUCUGGAUGGAGAUUCAGGCAAAUGCGCAUCCAACCCACCCCGAAAGGCAAAAACAUUGAAGCAUAUUUGUUCAAGGUUGCUGAGGCUGACAGGAUGCACUGGAUCUGAAAGCUGGGAUAAGCCGGAAAUGCUACCCAGGAUAAUGCGGGUUCUGUUUUCCACCAGACGGCCCCAAACACCAACACAUUUACUAUGAUUUGCUACCUGGUAUUGCAAAAAUGUUCUCAAGCGAGAUGACUCUAGCUUCUGCAUGGGUUCACUUGUUGGCUGUUGAUCUUUUUGCAGCAAGGCAAGUAUUUCAUGACGGUCUAAAGAACGAGAUCGAGACCCGCCAUUCGGUUUCUUUGUGCCUGCUUUUCUGCCCAAUCGGAAUCCUCACUCAUGUGAUCACCAAGGUACUGACUAAAA
Molecule: RNA transcript, 1214 nt
Organism: Magnolia sinica
Lineage: Eukaryota; Viridiplantae; Streptophyta; Magnoliopsida; Magnoliales; Magnoliaceae
Gene name: protein ABA DEFICIENT 4, chloroplastic
Exons: 7
Source: RefSeq, a predicted model, not a curated record